UUGAACGCUGGCGGCAGGCCUAACACAUGCAAGUCGAACGGUAACAGGAAGCAGCUUGCUGCUUCGCUGACGAGUGGCGGACGGGUGAGUAAUGUCUGGGAAACUGCCUGAUGGAGGGGGAUAACUACUGGAAACGGUAGCUAAUACCGCAUAACGUCGCAAGACCAAAGAGGGGGACCUUCGGGCCUCUUGCCAUCGGAUGUGCCCAGAUGGGAUUAGCUAGUAGGUGGGGUAACGGCUCACCUAGGCGACGAUCCCUAGCUGGUCUGAGAGGAUGACCAGCCACACUGGAACUGAGACACGGUCCAGACUCCUACGGGAGGCAGCAGUGGGGAAUAUUGCACAAUGGGCGCAAGCCUGAUGCAGCCAUGCCGCGUGUAUGAAGAAGGCCUUCGGGUUGUAAAGUACUUUCAGCGGGGAGGAAGGUGUUGAGGUUAAUAACCUCAGCAAUUGACGUUACCCGCAGAAGAAGCACCGGCUAACUCCGUGCCAGCAGCCGCGGUAAUACGGAGGGUGCAAGCGUUAAUCGGAAUUACUGGGCGUAAAGCGCACGCAGGCGGUCUGUCAAGUCGGAUGUGAAAUCCCCGGGCUCAACCUGGGAACUGCAUUCGAAACUGGCAGGCUAGAGUCUUGUAGAGGGGGGUAGAAUUCCAGGUGUAGCGGUGAAAUGCGUAGAGAUCUGGAGGAAUACCGGUGGCGAAGGCGGCCCCCUGGACAAAGACUGACGCUCAGGUGCGAAAGCGUGGGGAGCAAACAGGAUUAGAUACCCUGGUAGUCCACGCCGUAAACGAUGUCGACUUGGAGGUUGUGCCCUUGAGGCGUGGCUUCCGGAGCUAACGCGUUAAGUCGACCGCCUGGGGAGUACGGCCGCAAGGUUAAAACUCAAAUGAAUUGACGGGGGCCCGCACAAGCGGUGGAGCAUGUGGUUUAAUUCGAUGCAACGCGAAGAACCUUACCUACUCUUGACAUCCAGAGAACUUAGCAGAGAUGCUUUGGUGCCUUCGGGAACUCUGAGACAGGUGCUGCAUGGCUGUCGUCAGCUCGUGUUGUGAAAUGUUGGGUUAAGUCCCGCAACGAGCGCAACCCUUAUCCUUUGUUGCCAGCGGUCCGGCCGGGAACUCAAAGGAGACUGCCAGUGAUAAACUGGAGGAAGGUGGGGACGACGUCAAGUCAUCAUGGCCCUUACGAGUAGGGCUACACACGUGCUACAAUGGCGCAUACAAAGAGAAGCGACCUCGCGAGAGCAAGCGGACCUCAUAAAGUGCGUCGUAGUCCGGAUUGGAGUCUGCAACUCGACUCCAUGAAGUCGGAAUCGCUAGUAAUCGUGGAUCAGAAUGCCACGGUGAAUACGUUCCCGGGCCUUGUACUCACCGC
RNAcentral lists this ribosomal RNA (1374 nucleotides) under uncultured bacterium. Its description in RNAcentral is "bacterial SSU rRNA". It matches the Rfam family "Bacterial small subunit ribosomal RNA", at positions 29 to 1393 of the family's 1533-position model. The record is from RNAcentral.